CUUCAAGUUAUGUCAAUUUGAUGUGCGAGGAUUUGGGAAGUCCUGUGCUAGCGCGCUAGAUUAUUUAUUUCUUUUAACGAAUAAUGUAAUUACAUUUACCAUGGGUGGACAAAAAUUUGAAUACGAUGAAAGCGGAUCUACUUUCUUUUACUUUGUUUUAUCAUUCCUCGCUCUUAUAUUGGUGCCGGCGACAUUUUAUUAUUGGCCGAGAAAACGGAAAGAAGAUCCUGCAAAACAAGCGGAACUAUGUCAGUGUCCAAAUUGCGUACAGAAACAAAUUAUAAUAGAACAGUCAGAACCAUACAAGAAAGUGAAAAACUUUUUUAUUAUGUUAGCAAUAAUCUCAGGGUGGGUGCUUCUUGGUUUCCUAGCAGUUAAAGUGUCCCAGUUUGAUUAUGAGAUGUCUAAUUUUGACCCGUACGAAAUACUAGGCCUGCCCCCAGGGGCCACACAGGCUGAGAUCAAAAGGUCUUAUCGCAAACAAUCUCUGAUACUUCAUCCUGAUAAAGAAACUGGAGAUGAAAAGGCGUUUAUGAAAUUGACAAAAGCAUAUCAGGCACUUACAGAUGAAGAAGCUAGAAGAAAUUGGGAGAAAUAUGGAAAUCCUGACGGCCCGGGAGCUAUGAGCUUUGGUAUAGCUCUGCCGAGCUGGAUUGUGGAGAAAGAGAACAGUGUGUGGGUGCUAGGACUGUAUGCUCUUGUGUUCAUGGUAGCAUUGCCUACUGCUGUUGGUACUUGGUGGUAUCGCUCAAUAAGGUUUUCAGGUGAACAAGUUUUAUUGGACACAACACAAAUGUACUUUUACUUCUGUCACAAAACACCAUCUAUGCCUUUAAAGAGAGCCCUUAUGAUUCUGGCUGCAUCCUGUGAAUUUGAUAAACGACAUAAUUCUGAGAUUAUUGAAAGAAUAACAGACAAUGAAGAGGUUCCAAUGCUUCUACGUGAGCUUCCAAACUUGGGUGAGAAGAACAAGGAGCAGCCGCUAUGUCGUCCGUACAGUAUAAAGGCCCGCGCUUUACUCCACGCACAUUUGAUGCGCAUGAAACUACCGGAGGACACCCUGGAGGUGGAUAGACGGUACAUCGUGUCGCGUUGCCCCAACCUUAUUGUCGAAAUGGUCAACUGUGUGAACCAGCUCAUCGCACUCGCAUAUGCUAGAAGAAUACCUCGAUUACCAACAAUAGGCACAAUUGAGAACUGUAUGAAAUUGUCUCCGAUGAUCGUUCAAGGUCUUUGGGACUACAAAUCUGCCUUACUACAACUGCCAUAUAUCAACGAGGAUCACUUAAAAUAUUUCACAAACCGCAAGAAGCACAUCAAGUCUUUGCUACAACUGGCCCAGUUGUCUGGUGACGAGAGGAGACAAGUGCUCCGGUUUCUGAAUGAUAAACAGUAUGAUGAUGUCAUGAAAGUGUUGGGCAACAUGCCGUACAUACAUUUCCAAGUGAACACUGAAGUAAUCGAUGAUGAGAACUCGACAGUGGUGACAGCUGGUGCCAUAGUGACUGUGACGGUGCUACUUCGCAGGACUAACAUGAAGGAACUGUUUGGAGAUACAUCCAUUAAAGAGAAAACAUUAAAAGAAGAAGAGGAAGGCGGCGGCGACGUUCCAGAGAAAGGUGAAAACGAGAAGAACAACAAAACGGAUAAAAGCGAAAAGAAGGACGUGUACAAGCGGCCCGUGUGGAUGAAGCAGAAGAAGGGGCCCGCGAAGAAGACUAAGAAGCCCGUUGCUAAGCAACAGGUCAAACCAGCCGCAGCACCCGCCGCCCCUGCAACUCCUGCCGCCACUUCUGACAAACCCAAGGAAAACAAGGAACCAAAGAAAAAGGAUGAGGAAGGCGCCGGUGAGGAGUCCGACGAAGGCAGCUCGGACGAGUCGGGCUCUCACAGCGACGGGUCGGGCGACGAGUCGCGCGACAAGUCGUCCGCGCCCGACGACGAUGACGACCAGUGGGACAAGUUCCAGAAGCGGCUGCAGAAGCGGGAGAGGCUCGAGGGGCGCUCAAAGAGCUCUCACCCUGUGCAUUGUCCAUACUUCCCCUUGGAGAAACAAGAAUAUUGGUGGUGUUACAUCUGCGACCGCAAGUCCAACACGCUGCUGACGGCGCCCGCGCACGUCACCGCGCUCGUCGACUCGCACGAGCUGCAGCUGCGCUUCACGGCGCCGCGCUGGCCCGGCCUCUACACCUUCGCCUGCUGUCUGCGCUCUGGUAACCGUUUGUGUGCUUUGCCACGUCAACACGCUGCUGACGGCGCCCGCGCACGUCACCGCGCUCGUCGACUCGCACGAGCUGCAGCUGCGCUUCACGGCGCCGCGCUGGCCCGGCCUCUACACCUUCGCCUGCUGUCUGCGCUCUGAUUCGUAUAUCGGGAUGGACCAACAGCAGGACAUGAAGAUGGAUGUUAAAGAGGCGGCUGCGGUGCCCGCCGAGCACCCUCAGUGGGACCUCAGCGAUUCCGACACAGAAAACAAUGAAGAGGGAGGCAACGAGAGCGAGUUCACUACAGACGACGAGGUGGAGGAGGAGUGAUGGAAGAUUAAGUUAUUUUUAUAGAGUUUUUAAUGAGAUGUAUCUAAAAGGAAUAAUGUUGUUGUAUGAAUUGAGAGCGGGUGAAUAUAGUAACUUUUAUAUUCAU
RNA transcript from Bicyclus anynana (squinting bush brown), 2640 nucleotides. It is a transcript of the gene named translocation protein SEC63 homolog, with no coding region annotated. The transcript is spliced from 12 exons. Lineage: Eukaryota; Metazoa; Arthropoda; Insecta; Lepidoptera; Nymphalidae. The record is from RefSeq and is a predicted model, not a curated record.